UCCUGGCUCAGGAUGAACGCUAGCGGCAGGCCUAACACAUGCAAGUCGAGGGGUAUUAGGAGCUUGCUCCUAAGAGACCGGCGCACGGGUGCGUAACGCGUAUGCAAUCUACCUUGUACAGGGGAAUAGCCCAGAGAAAUUUGGAUUAAUGCCCCAUAGUAUAAUUGAAUCGCAUGGUUUAAUUAUUAAAGUUCCAACGGUACAAGAUGAGCAUGCGUCCCAUUAGUUAGUUGGUAAGGUAACGGCUUACCAAGACAAUGAUGGGUAGGGGUCCUGAGAGGGAGAUCCCCCACACUGGUACUGAGACACGGACCAGACUCCUACGGGAGGCAGCAGUGAGGAAUAUUGGUCAAUGGGCGCAAGCCUGAACCAGCCAUGCCGCGUGCAGGAAGACGGUCCUAUGGAUUGUAAACUGCUUUUAUACAGGAAGAAACAACUCUACGUGUAGAGUCUUGACGGUACUGUAGGAAUAAGGAUCGGCUAACUCCGUGCCAGCAGCCGCGGUAAUACGGAGGAUCCAAGCGUUAUCCGGAAUCAUUGGGUUUAAAGGGUCCGUAGGCGGUCUUAUAAGUCAGUGGUGAAAUCUCCUAGCUCAACUAGGAAACUGCCAUUGAUACUGUAAGACUUGAAUUUUUGUGAAGUAACUAGAAUAUGUAGUGUAGCGGUGAAAUGCUUAGAUAUUACAUGGAAUACCAAUUGCGAAGGCAGGUUACUAACAAACGAUUGACGCUGAUGGACGAAAGCGUGGGGAGCGAACAGGAUUAGAUACCCUGGUAGUCCACGCCGUAAACGAUGGAUACUAGCUGUUCGGAGCAAUCUGAGUGGCUAAGCGAAA
Molecule: ribosomal RNA, 835 nt
Filed under: Flavobacterium sp. AKB-2008-TE31
Lineage: Bacteria; Pseudomonadati; Bacteroidota; Flavobacteriia; Flavobacteriales; Flavobacteriaceae
Description: bacterial SSU rRNA
Rfam family: Bacterial small subunit ribosomal RNA
Source: RNAcentral